Fukomys damarensis (Damara mole-rat) is the source of this 627-nucleotide long non-coding RNA. RefSeq lists it as uncharacterized. The transcript has 3 exons. The record is from RefSeq and is a predicted model, not a curated record. NCBI's taxonomy places the organism in Eukaryota, Metazoa, Chordata, Mammalia, Rodentia, Bathyergidae.
GGCCGGGACCCCUUUGCGCCGCCCAGCCCGCAUAUGGGGCGACUCGAGUUCUGAAUCCGGAGGGAAGGCGCUCGGAGGAGGCUCAGUCAGGCGGUGUAGACGCGGGUCUCUGUGCGCGCCCGCCCGGGGCUCCAAAGGCUCCAAGCCCCUCCGGUCUCUUCCGCUGUGCCUCACGAGUGACUGUCGUGUAAAGUGAGCCCCUGAGACAAGUGUGCCCCGUGCUGAGCUCAGAGCUUGUCGGGACCUGGGACCUCUUCCGGGAGUGAUAGGUUCUGAGAGCCGUUGGCGACCCAGGUUCCGUCUUGUUCUCUUUUGGAAGAGCUCAAGGCCUUAGAAUGAAUGUUCCUACUUGAUUUUGAGUUUUCAAAGUUCACUUUUAAAACGGGUCUCAAACUUGUGGCAGUUCUCUCGCCUCAGCCUCCAGAGUGCUGGGAUUACCGGCGUGCGCCAUCACACCCGACCUGGAGGUCUUUUAACAAGUUGGAUUUGGCUCGGCCCACCAUGCUUGGAAUUACCCAAAGAAACUCAUCAUACAGCAGUGGUCCCUAACCAGACUUAGGUAAAAAGUAGCUUUAAAAAAUAUAUGCAUAGCCUGGUGUGGUGGCUCACGCCUUUAAUCCCAGCUCU